Molecule: long non-coding RNA, 283 nt
Filed under: Nicotiana benthamiana
Lineage: Eukaryota; Viridiplantae; Streptophyta; Magnoliopsida; Solanales; Solanaceae
Description: long non-coding RNA (NBEN_LNC019613)
Source: RNAcentral
CAGUUAACCAAGAAAUCACCAUGUUAUUGCACCUAUCCCAUAACCUUUGUUGAGCCACAUUAGUGGCUGGUCGGGAGCACGUGCCAUCAGCAAAACCAAUCUUAUUUUUAGCAGAUAAUGCAACAAACAUUUUUCUCCUCCAACCCUCAUAAACACUUCCCGAGAAGGGAGUGGGAACAAGAGAGACCCCAGGGACAUCAGAGGAGUAUACAAAGAGAGGACCGGUAGAGUCUACCGAGGAGGAGGUACUAGUAUUCGUAUUAGAAGUCAUGAUUAAUGCACC